AGACAGGACACCUGUGAAUCUUUACAGCUGAUGUUGCUAACGAGCAGCUGAUUUAUAUAAAGGGUAAGGCAAGAGUUGUGCUAGAAUGGUAGUUGGGAAUAGGAAUGUGGAAGAGGCUACUGCUUUUCCUCUGGUUUGUUUUUUUUUUUUUUUCCAGUGAUUUAGCUAUAGUAUGAGGAUACAUUUUGAGGCAGGAACUCAUUUCUGAAAUUGUAGUAGCUGUCUUCUGAAAGGGAUCUUUGUUUCUAUUUUGAGCUUUUCUCUUACUGGGAGUAAGAAGCUCAAAGGCAGGAAAGGGAAAGAUGCUUUAAAAGCAGAAGUGAUGCAAGUGAUGCUGUCUCAAGAUUUCUCACUGCAAGAGGGAAAGGAAUCCUGGAGACCCAGCAAAGGGAACUAACUGCAAGCCAAAUCACAUUCAUUGAAUUUAAAUUGCUUGGAUUUGAGAGGCCUUCUCUUCUGGGCUUUUCAGAGGUCUGGUACUGGCUGUGGAAGUUAUCUGGGAACUCAGAGAAAUUCCACUUUAAAUAGGACUCUGAUUUGUCUUUACUCCACCCUCCUGCUGUGCUUCUGGAUUCAUGGAUGAUUUGGUCGUCUGGAUGUUGACAAACAGUUUUGGAUGCAACACAUUUCUCCUUUUCAUAAAUAAGGAUUUCCACAGAUCUAGAAAGAGUUAGCUAGUCAAAACUCUUACCAGGCAUACUUGCUGGCUUGAACUGUAUGUUGGAUACUUAGUUAUAUACUUUGCAUAUAGAUAGAUUGAUACCUUUGCAGUCUUGGGUCUGUGAUGAUCCUCCCCAGUUCUGCUGGUUGAGUCCACUGUGAAAUAGAGAAAAUCAUGGCAGAAGGAGCUCUGUUCUGCAGGAAGGGAACAGUACAGAGAAACAGAGAAGGUUACAGCUGCAUCAGCAAAACUGAAUACUAAAUUUCCAAAACUUUUUCACUAUGACCAUUUACAUAGGACUGAUUCCUUGCAUAAAACAUCAAGCUAUCCCUACAACAGACUUCACAACAUGGGUAUAGACAAAAACCAACUUAUAUCUUUGAUCAAUAGCAGAGUUUAGUAUCAGCACAAAUUUUGAAAGAAUGCAGAUCUCUUCACUGGGAACAAGGGAUUUUUUUUUGAUCAGUGGGUUGGUUUUAUUACAAC
RNAcentral lists this long non-coding RNA (1147 nucleotides) under Zonotrichia albicollis (white-throated sparrow). RNAcentral describes it as "lncRNA (ENSZALG00000004249.1)". The record is from RNAcentral. Lineage: Eukaryota; Metazoa; Chordata; Aves; Passeriformes; Passerellidae.